This 1589-nucleotide ribosomal RNA is filed under the name Salmonella enterica subsp. enterica serovar Mbandaka. RNAcentral's name for it is "partial 23S ribosomal RNA". It matches the Rfam family "Bacterial large subunit ribosomal RNA", at positions 1 to 1524 of the family's 2925-position model. Lineage: Bacteria; Pseudomonadati; Pseudomonadota; Gammaproteobacteria; Enterobacterales; Enterobacteriaceae. The record is from RNAcentral.
GGGUUGUGAGGUUAAGCGACUAAGCGUACACGGUGGAUGCCCUGGCAGUCAGAGGCGAUGAAGGGCGUGCUAAUCUGCGAUAAGCGCCGGUAAGGUGAUAUGAACCGUUAUAACCGGCGAUACCCGAAUGGGGAAACCCAGUGUGACUCGUCACACUAUCAUUAACUGAAUCCAUAGGUUAAUGAGGCGAACCGGGGGAACUGAAACAUCUAAGUACCCCGAGGAAAAGAAAUCAACCGAGAUUCCCCCAGUAGCGGCGAGCGAACGGGGAGGAGCCCAGAGCCUGAAUCAGCAUGUGUGUUAGUGGAAGCGUCUGGAAAGGCGCGCGAUACAGGGUGACAGCCCCGUACACAAAAGCGCAUGUGCUGUGAGCUCGAUGAGUAGGGCGGGACACGUGGUAUCCUGUCUGAAUAUGGGGGGACCAUCCUCCAAGGCUAAAUACUCCUGACUGACCGAUAGUGAACCAGUACCGUGAGGGAAAGGCGAAAAGAACCCCGGCGAGGGGAGUGAAAAAGAACCUGAAACCGUGUACGUACAAGCAGUGGGAGCCCCACCACCAAAGCAUUCUCUGGUGUUGAAGGCCCUGCAAAGCAGCAUCGCGGUGGCGGAGCGUCGUUUGCGACGCCCAACACAAAAAACAAGCGGUGAGUGCUUUGGGGUGGGGUGACUGCGUACCUUUUGUAUAAUGGGUCAGCGACUUAUAUUCUGUAGCAAGGUUAACCGAAUAGGGGAGCCGUAGGGAAACCGAGUCUUAACUGGGCGUUAAGUUGCAGGGUAUAGACCCGAAACCCGGUGAUCUAGCCAUGGGCAGGUUGAAGGUUGGGUAACACUAACUGGAGGACCGAACCGACUAAUGUUGAAAAAUUAGCGGAUGACCUGUGGCUGGGGGUGAAAGGCCAAUCAAACCGGGAGAUAGCUGGUUCUCCCCGAAAGCUAUUUAGGUAGCGCCUCGUGAAUUCAUCUCCGGGGGUAGAGCACUGUUUCGGCUAGGGGGCCAUCCCGGCUUACCAACCCGAUGCAAACUGCGAAUACCGGAGAAUGUUAUCACGGGAGACACACGGCGGGUGCUAACGUCCGUCGUGAAGAGGGAAACAACCCAGACCGCCAGCUAAGGUCCCAAAGUCAUGGUUAAGUGGGAAACGAUGUGGGAAGGCCCAGACAGCCAGGAUGUUGGCUUAGAAGCAGCCAUCAUUUAAAGAAAGCGUAAUAGCUCACUGGUCGAGUCGGCCUGCGCGGAAGAUGUAACGGGGCUAAACCAUGCACCGAAGCUGCGGCAGCGACACUGUGUGUUGUUGGGUAGGGGAGCGUUCUGUAAGCCUGUGAAGGUGGCCUGUGAGGGUUGCUGGAGGUAUCAGAAGUGCGAAUGCUGACAUAAGUAACGAUAAAGCGGGUGAAAAGCCCGCUCGCCGGAAGACCAAGGGUUCCUGUCCAACGUUAAUCGGGGCAGGGUGAGUCGACCCCUAAGGCGAGGCCGAAAGGCGUAGUCGAUGGGAAACGGGUUAAUAUUCCCGUACUUGGUGUUACUGCGAAGGGGGGACGGAGAAGGCUAUGUUGGCCGGGCGACGGUUGUCCCGGUUUAAGCGUGUAGG